RNAcentral lists this transfer RNA (69 nucleotides) under Callopanchax sidibeorum. Its description in RNAcentral is "tRNA-His". It matches the Rfam family "tRNA". From Rfam's summary of the family: Transfer RNA (tRNA) molecules are approximately 80 nucleotides in length. The record is from RNAcentral. Lineage: Eukaryota; Metazoa; Chordata; Actinopteri; Cyprinodontiformes; Nothobranchiidae.
GUGGUUAUAGUUUAUUUAAAACAUUAGAUUGUGAUUCUAAAAAUAAAGGUUAAAACCCUUUUAUCCACC